This 477-nucleotide ribosomal RNA is filed under the name uncultured Methanolobus sp. Its description in RNAcentral is "bacterial SSU rRNA". It matches the Rfam family "Archaeal small subunit ribosomal RNA", at positions 336 to 813 of the family's 1478-position model. Lineage: Archaea; Methanobacteriati; Methanobacteriota; Methanomicrobia; Methanosarcinales; Methanosarcinaceae. The record is from RNAcentral.
CAGGCGCGAAAACUUUACAAUGCGGGAAACCGCGAUAAGGGGACACUGAGUGCCAGCAUCAUGUGUUGGCUGUCCGCAUGUAUAAAUAACAUGUGUUAGCAAGGGCCGGGCAAGACCGGUGCCAGCCGCCGCGGUAACACCGGCGGCCCGAGUGGUGGCCAUUAUUAUUGGGUCUAAAGGGUCCGUAGCCGGUUUGAUCAGUCUUCCGGGAAAUCUGACAGCUCAACUGUUAGGCUUCUGGGGGAUACUGUCAGACUUGGAACCGGGAGAGGUAAGAGGUACUACAGGGGUAGGAGUGAAAUCUUGUAAUCCCUGUGGGACCACCAGUGGCGAAGGCGUCUUACCAGAACGGGUUCGACGGUGAGGGACGAAAGCUGGGGGCACGAACCGGAUUAGAUACCCGGGUAGUCCCAGCCGUAAACGAUGCUCGCUAGGUGUCUGGGACGGUGCGACCGUUUCAGGUGCCGCAGGGAAGCC